This 473-nucleotide ribosomal RNA is filed under the name uncultured bacterium. RNAcentral describes it as "bacterial SSU rRNA". It matches the Rfam family "Bacterial small subunit ribosomal RNA", at positions 355 to 825 of the family's 1533-position model. The record is from RNAcentral.
UCGAGAAUCAUUCGCAAUGGGCGAAAGCCUGACGGUGCGACGCCGCGUGGAGGAUGAAGGCCCUAGGGUCGUAAACUCCUGUCAUCAGGGAGUAAUGGCUCAUAUAGUAACUGAUAUGGGUCUUGAUAGUACCUGAAGAGGAAGGGACGGCAAACUUCGUGCCAGCAGCCGCGGUAAUACGAAGGUCCCAAGCGUUGUUCGGAUUUACUGGGCGUAAAGAGUCUGUAGGCGGUGGGGUAAGUCAGAUGUGAAAUCCCGGGGCUCAACCCCGGAACUGCAUCCGAUACUGCCUUACUUGAGGGUCGGAGGGGAGUCUGGAAUUCUCGGUGUAGCAGUGAAAUGCGUAGAUAUCGAGAGGAACACUAGUGGCGAAGGCGAGACUCUGGACGACAACUGACGCUGAGAGACGAAGGCCAGGGGAGCGAAAAGGAUUAGAUACCCUUGUAGUCCCUGAGCGGGCUGGCAAGGCGCAU